Molecule: ribosomal RNA, 551 nt
Filed under: uncultured archaeon
Lineage: Archaea
Description: bacterial SSU rRNA
Rfam family: Archaeal small subunit ribosomal RNA
Source: RNAcentral
GGGGUGAGCAGGGGCGAAAACUUUUGAAUGGUGGCAACAGCUAUCAGGGGACCUCUAAUGGCAGGAUACUAAUCUGGCUGUCUUGAUGCCUAGUAAGCAUUGCGUAGAAUAGGGCGGGGAACACCAGUGCCAGCCGCCGCGGUAACACCGGCGGCUCCAGUGGUAACCGUUAUUAUUGGGUCUAAAGGGUCUGUAGCCGGCCGAAUAAUUCUCUUGGGAAAUCUGGCAGCUUAUCUGUCAUGCUUUCAGGAGAUAAUGUCUGGCUCCAGGCCAGCAGAGGAGAGACGUACUUCUUGGGUAGGGGUGAAAUCUUGUAAUCCUUGAAGGACCACCACUGGCGAAGGCGUCUCACCAUAACGGACCUGACGACAAGGAACGAAAACUAGGGGCACAAACCGGAUUAUAUACCCCGGUAGUCCUACCCGUAAACGAUACUCCCUAGGUGUCGGCCACGGUGCAACCGUUGUCUGUGCCGUAGGGAAGCCGUGAAGCGAGCCACCUGGGAAGUACGGCCACAAGGCUAAAACUUAAAGGAAUUGGCGGGGGAGCAC